UUUGCUCUUCCUUUCACGUGUGCGUACGAUAACCAGGCAGUCUGACUACCCACUCAGAUACAUUCAUGAGGCAUAUUAUGCAAUUUCGUACGUAUAGACAGACAGACCGACACACACACACGUGUCACUUGUCGGUAUUGUCAACAAACGAAGAAGAAAGCACACUACUGGGUACAACUAAUAUUCCGGAUGUUUCCCGACCAUUCCCAUCACUGCUUGUGAACGGAAAUGUGCUCUCGACAGGGAUGUUGCACAUUACAACCAUCGCUGACAUCACGUGUAUAAUGGUGCUACAGACUAGACACGUGCGUCAGCGCGGGUAGGGUCACACAGGGGAGGAAGUGAGAGUCGUCAGCAGGGCGUCAGAUCGGCUUCACGUGAGCACAACUUUAUUCCUCCACAAGGGCAGAUACAGGUCAUCCUGCUGGUUAGUGACCACCAUGCAAGCCUUUAGUCCUUCUGACUUCUUUGUCUCUCACACACACACACAGGGAAAAGAAACCAACUGGGCCCAGCUGCAUAGCACAUCACUAAGGC
Molecule: long non-coding RNA, 537 nt
Organism: Pomacea canaliculata
Lineage: Eukaryota; Metazoa; Mollusca; Gastropoda; Architaenioglossa; Ampullariidae
Exons: 3
Source: RefSeq, a predicted model, not a curated record